Molecule: microRNA precursor, 65 nt
Filed under: Patiria miniata (bat star)
Lineage: Eukaryota; Metazoa; Echinodermata; Asteroidea; Valvatida; Asterinidae
Description: Pmi-Mir-76_pre stem-loop
Source: RNAcentral
GCGGGUUUCGUUCUCUGCGAACAUUCACGACAAUCUAUGUUGUUCGUUGUCGACGAAACCUGAAA